AAACUUUCAACAACCGAUCUCUUGGUUCUCGCAUCCAUGAAAAACCUAACGAAAUGCGAUAAAUAAAGGGAAUUGCAAAAUCUCCUGAAUCAUUGAAUUUUUGAACGCACAUUGGGCCCUCCGGUAUUCCAAAAGGCAUGGCUGGUUGAACGUCAUU
RNAcentral lists this ribosomal RNA (157 nucleotides) under Hanseniaspora vineae. RNAcentral describes it as "5.8S ribosomal RNA". It matches the Rfam family "5.8S ribosomal RNA". From Rfam's summary of the family: 5.8S ribosomal RNA (5.8S rRNA) is a component of the large subunit of the eukaryotic ribosome. The record is from RNAcentral. Lineage: Eukaryota; Fungi; Ascomycota; Saccharomycetes; Saccharomycodales; Saccharomycodaceae.